This is a long non-coding RNA of Prionailurus viverrinus (fishing cat), 273 nucleotides long. RefSeq lists it as uncharacterized. Lineage: Eukaryota; Metazoa; Chordata; Mammalia; Carnivora; Felidae. The transcript has 3 exons. The record is from RefSeq and is a predicted model, not a curated record.
GUUCCAUACAUAUUCAAAGAAACUCAUGGUCAUGAAAGUACUCAACAAUAGACAAAGUAUGGCAUAAAGCCAUGAAAAUACCGGGAAAAGAUAAUCUCCAGCAUUAACAUCAGACAACUGGCAGUUCAAAAAACAAUGCGGAUGAUGAACAAAGCAUUACUUAUAAACCGAUGUAAUGCGAAUAAGGACAGAUCCACUGACACCAUCAGUGGCAGAGCUAUCUACUGGAAGAAAUGUGAAGCCUGGAUUAUAUUCUUCAAUCUUCCAUUUUGC